UUGGAUUAGUCUGCUGGUUUAUCAAUGAAAAAGCGUCUUAACUCGGAGAAGCAGCUGAAGUGUUGUCGGCCAGGAGGAGAACGGCUGGGCUGUGAGCGUAUCGGGAGCACUGCCAGUGAAGCCGCGGAACACUUCCUCUAUAUGGGCUUUAGCUCCUUCAGGCUCUGCUGCCGAGAGUCUUUCACUUCCUCAGUGUCAGAAGGCUGCCCCAACUACGCGCUCUACACCACACCCACAUUACGCGCACUCCGCUGCCACCCCAUGUAAUUUGUUGACUCUCUGUCCUGUUCACCCAGACUUACCCCGCUACUGGUUGGAUUAGCGUAAUGUUGUAAGGACAUAUGGAGGAGAGCCCGUGAGCCUGUUUCCCCCUGUUCUCUGAACGGACCAGUCUCUCACCAUCUCUCCUUCUCUUUAGUCUAUGGACCCUCAGAUAUUGAGUAAAGGGAAUAUUCUGUACGGCUUUCACUCGGUGAAUCCAAGACCUCUCUCUUCUCGACUCCGCCACCAGCAUGACUUACACACUUCGUCUGUUUCUCUCUACUCUGCCACGGCUGCCAUCCAGAGGGAGGUACAGGACAGUCGGGCAGGCUUACUGUGUGGAGGAAGGACAGCAGCACCUCCACUACCAGUUGUAGUGUUGCUGGAGGGAGAAUAACGUCUGGGCUGUGAGGAGACGACAGUCAGCGGCAGGUGAAGCGGCUGAGCAGCUCUGCUAUCUGGGGUGUAGCUCGUUUUGGCUCGACGGACGAGCGUCUUUCACUUCCUUGUUUGAUCAGUGCAGAAUGCCCGGCAGUCUUAAAAUAAAAGUAAUUUAAAAAUGUUCUGCUCGUGGCAUAGCUGAUCAAAGCUGCUAUCGCGGCUGGAUAGGCAGAUUUCCAUGUGUUGCAGUGGCUGUGGUAUAUUCUGUCUUUAUUCUGUUAUUAAACUGACUGUCCUCUGCA
This is a long non-coding RNA of Oncorhynchus gorbuscha (pink salmon), 944 nucleotides long. RefSeq lists it as uncharacterized. The transcript has 2 exons. Lineage: Eukaryota; Metazoa; Chordata; Actinopteri; Salmoniformes; Salmonidae. The record is from RefSeq and is a predicted model, not a curated record.